AGCACUAGGCUGAUCCAUAACAUUUACUGUGCCAAGUUUAAAUGGUUGGCGAUAAGAUGAACCUAAAAAUACUACUACUCGUUUUUUCCAUAUGGUACUGCAUUUUUGCUAGGAAAACCACUACUAGAGUAGCACAAAUGGGAGUAAAAGUUCGAUCUCAUUAUGCCAAUUGUGCGGGUGAUACCGGACCAAUACCGUUGACUGCCUGCCUGCACGACUGUGGUGAUUUUCCGGUGAUCGCGGGAGAAUGUCGGUGUGGACUGCUUUGUUGCUCUUUGGUGCAGUAAGAGCUGAAAAUUUCGGACAGGGAAAUAUGACAUAAAAUGUGUUACUUUUAUUAGUAAAAGCAUAUUUCACACUC
Photinus pyralis (common eastern firefly) is the source of this 361-nucleotide long non-coding RNA. RefSeq lists it as uncharacterized. The record is from RefSeq and is a predicted model, not a curated record. NCBI's taxonomy places the organism in Eukaryota, Metazoa, Arthropoda, Insecta, Coleoptera, Lampyridae. The transcript has 2 exons.